CAUAUCGUGGGAAACAAGGCACGUGAUCUUCUCAGGGAAUCUAAUGGAUAGCCGGUUCCCAAGAUUUUGCUUUUUAUUUAUUUCCAUUUAUUCAUAAUAUUUAAAAAAAAAAAAAACAUUUAUUCAUAUUAUAAUUAGGGCAAGAGGGCUACAAAAGACAGGCCCCAGCUGCCAACCCACAAAACCAAUAACUCAUCUCACGGUAAAGCCACACUAUAAAAAAAUAUCAUUGCAUCUUAUCAUCAAAUCAAAACAUAUCAUUAUCACCUUUAACACCUUUAACCAAAGGUGUUGAAUAUUUGGUUUCAAUCUUCAAGGCCACAAGAAUGGUGGUUUUGGUUGGCUCUGGUUUUUCUUCUUGAAAGGUCUUCUCUAAUGGACCAAUAACCAUUUCGUCCAAGAAUGCAUAGGCCUGGAAUACAUCUGAGAGCCCAAAUGGCAAACAAGUAAGCAGUAGACCAAAUAAUAUAUAGUCAGCCAAUGGAAAAAUGUGAGGCAAUAUCCUUCAGAGAAUUAGUAUUACAUUGUUAUGGUAAUAGUGAAACCAAAUAUAUCCCUCACAAGACCAUUAGUAAAGAACAACAAUGUUUAUUAGAUAAUAUUCAUCGCGCUUAUCUAUUUAAUAAUUAUAGAUAUUUCCAGACAGUAUUAAAAAGCCUAAUAGAAUACUUCCAAAGUAAGAAAUUUGUUUAUUACUAUUUAGUAUUUCGAGGGAAAAAACCAGGAUUAUAUAAGUCAUGGCAAUCAGUAGCUGAAACAGUAGAUAAAUUUAAUAAUGCCCUUUGGAAAUGCCAAGUAAAUUAUGAAGAAGCUACUAAAGCUGCUAUUAUGUAUUGGAGUCUCAAUUAUUUUGAUGAGACAAAAGAUAAGGGGAAAGAAAAAGUAACCGAAUUAAAUUACCCAAAUUGUAUUUAUUAUAAUAAAACAAUAAUAGAAAAAGACUUGGUAAACAAAAAAUUAAAAGAAGAAAAUGAAGCAUGCUGGGACCAAAUUAAUAGUCUUAAGCUUCAAUUGGAUGUCUUUCGACAUCAGCGUCAGCAACAGAGCACUCCACCUACCACCAAUCAAGUAACCAUAUCCACUAAAGACAUACAACUUCUUAUCAAUAAAGUUGUCGACGAGAAAAUGGAGAAGUGGAAUAGUCAAUUUGAUGGGACAUAUGAUGCAGAAGACUCCAUCGACAGACUUGGACUUGAGGACCCUACUAUGGGAAGCACUACGAUUUAAAGUCUGAUUUAAAGAUAAGAUGCUCUUUUCACAAAGACCAAAGGUAGCCGCCCAUGUGCUACGCAUCAUAUAUUUUCAGAAAAAACAAAAUCCCAUAAAUGCUUAACUUUAUCAUCUUAUUCUCACUUUAAUAAAAUAAUAGAGGAUAACUUUUUAUUUCGGUAUAAAUAAGCUAAGGAGUCUGGCUUGUAGACUCACUUCUAGUCUUUUUAAAUCUUAUUCUCUAAACCCAGAGAAACCUCUAAGUCUUGAAAACCAUCAAACUUAGCUUUCUCUUCUAUUGUAUAAUAUUUUAUAAGUUUAUUAAUAAAAUGGGUUACCAUUGCUAAAACA
Molecule: long non-coding RNA, 1560 nt
Organism: Humulus lupulus (European hop)
Lineage: Eukaryota; Viridiplantae; Streptophyta; Magnoliopsida; Rosales; Cannabaceae
Exons: 2
Source: RefSeq, a predicted model, not a curated record